This 1890-nucleotide ribosomal RNA is filed under the name human gut metagenome. RNAcentral's name for it is "bacterial LSU rRNA". It matches the Rfam family "Bacterial large subunit ribosomal RNA", at positions 3 to 1980 of the family's 2925-position model. The record is from RNAcentral.
UCAAGCUAGAAAGAGCGCAAGGGGAAUGCCUUGGCAUCAGGAGCCGAUGAAGGACGCGACAAGCUGCGAUAAGCUUCGGGUAGCUGCAAAUAAGCAAUGAUCCGGAGAUUUCCGAAUGGGGCAACCCGGCACGGCAAUACCGUGUCAGCGUGCACUGAAUCAAAUAGGUGUACGUGGGGAACCGCCUGAACUGAAACAUCUAAGUAGGGCGAGGAAAAGACAUCAACCGAGAUUCCGCAAGUAGUGGCGAGCGAACGCGGAGGAGGCCAAACCAGAGGUCAUUGAUCUCUGGGGUAUGGACUUGCAUCAUGAUCAGAGGUAUCUAGUCGAAUGGCGUGGGAAAGCCAACCACAGAGGGUGAGAGUCCCGUAGACGAAAGAGAAGACUGACAGCGAGUAUCCAGAGUACCGCCGGACACGUGAAACCCGGUGGGAACAUGGGAGGACCACCUUCCAAGCCUAAAUACUACCUGAUGACCGAUAGUGGAGCAGUACCGUGAGGGAAAGGUGAAAAGAACCCCGGGAGGGGAGUGAAACAGUACCUGAAACCUUGUGCUUACAAGCAGACAUAGCCCGUUAAAGGGUGGUGUCGUACUUUUUGUAGAACGGUCCGGCGAGUUAUAGUAACUGGCGAGCUUAAGGUAUUGAGUACCGGAGGCGAAGCGAAAGCGAGUGUUAAGAGCGCGUAUAGAGUCAGUUGCCAUAGACCCGAAACCAGGUGACCUAGCCAUGUCCAGGAUGAAGUGGAGGUAAAGCUCCAUGGAGGUCCGAACCCACGUUCGUUGCAAUGACCGGGGAUGAGGUGUGGCUAGCGGUGAAAUUCCAAACGAACUUGGAGAUAGCUGGUUCUCCCCGAAAUAGUUUUAGGACUAGCGUUGGGUAUGAGUUUAACGGCGGUAAAGCACUGAAUGGGCUAGGGGGCGAUAAGCUUACUGAACCCUAUCAAACUAAGAAUGCCGUAUAAAUGCUUACCAGCAGUCAGACUGCGAGUAAUAAAAUCCGUAGUCAAAAGGGAAACAGCCCAGAUCUACAGCUAAGGUCCCUAAUACAUGCUAAGUGGAAAACGAUGUGAGAUUGCGAAAACAACCAGGAUGUUGGCUUAGAGGCAGCCACUCGUUCAAAGAGUGCGUAAUAGCUCACUGGUCGAGUGAUCUUGCGCGGAAAAUUUAACGGGGCUAAGCAUGUAACCGAAGCUUAGGGUUUACAGCAAUGUAAGCGGUAGGGGAGCGUCGAAUACGGGGUGAAGUCAUACCGAAAGGAAUGGUGGACUGUAUUCGAGUGAGAAUGCCGGAAUGAGUAGCGAGAAUUAUGUGGGAAUCAUAAUGGCCGAAAAUCUAAGGUUUCUUGGGGAAGGUUCGUCCGCCCAAGGUAAGCCGGGAGCUAAGGCGAGGCCGAAAGGCGUAGUCGAUGCACAUACGGUUGAAAUUCCGUAGCCGCCGAAAUUGUUAAGCACAGGGACACAUAGAGAUAUCCGAACCCGGGCGUUGGUUGACCCGGGCGCAAGGGACCGAACAUCAGUAGGGAAGUCGGAGAUGCUCUGUGGCGAGAAAAGCUGUGUGUAUUGAUUAGGCGCCCGUACCGCAAACCGACACAGGUAGAUGAGGAGAGAAUCCUAAGGCCAACGGGAGAAGGGUUGUUAAGGAACUCGGCAAAUUGACCCCGUAACUUCGGGAGAAGGGGUGCUCCAGAGAUGGAGCCGCAGAGAAUCGGCCCAAGCAACUGUUUACCAAAAACACAGGUUUGUGCUAAAUCGAAAGAUGACGUAUACGAGCUGACGCCUGCCCGGUGCUGGAAGGUUAAGAGGAGAUGUGCAAGCAUUGAAUCGAAGCCCCAGUGAACGGCGGCCGUAACUAUAACGGUCCUAAGGUAGCGAAAUUCCUUGUCAGGUAAG